GAUGAAGAACGUAGCGAAAUGCGAUAAGUAAUGCGAAUUGCAGAAUUCAGUGAAUCAUCGAAUCUUUGAACGCACAUUGCGCCCGCCAGUAUUCUGGCGGGCAUGCCUGUCUGAGCGUCGUUUCGACCCUCGCGCCCGGCUUCUGUCGGGGGCGGUGUUGGGGAUCGGCCACACCCUUCAGUGGGAGGCCGGCCCCUAAAUUCAGUGGCGACCACGCUGUAGCCUCCCCUGCGUAGUACUAAAACCACCUCGCAGGCGGAGAGCGGUGCGGCCCGCCGUGAAACCCCCCAACUUUUACAAGGUCGACCUCAGAUCAGGUAGGAAUACCCGCUGAACUUAAGCAUAUCAAUAAGCGGAGGA
RNAcentral lists this unclassified non-coding RNA (360 nucleotides) under soil metagenome. RNAcentral's name for it is "partial contains 5.8S ribosomal RNA, internal transcribed spacer 2, and large subunit ribosomal RNA". The stretch from base 1 to 120 matches the Rfam family "5.8S ribosomal RNA", at positions 35 to 154 of the family's 154-position model. The record is from RNAcentral.